RNAcentral lists this ribosomal RNA (513 nucleotides) under uncultured bacterium. RNAcentral's name for it is "partial 16S ribosomal RNA". It matches the Rfam family "Bacterial small subunit ribosomal RNA", at positions 28 to 523 of the family's 1533-position model. The record is from RNAcentral.
GACGAACGCUGGCGGCAUGCCUAAUACACGCAAGUCGAGCGAACAGAUGAAGUGCUUGCACUUCUGACGUUAGCGGCGAACGGGUGAGUAACACGUAAGGAAUCUACCUAUAAGCGGGGAAUAACAUUCGGAAACGGGUGCUAAUACCGCAUAAUCUCUUCUUCCGCAUGGAAGAAGAUUGAAAGACGGCUCUGCUGUCACUUAUAGAUGGCCUUGCGGUGCAUUAGUUAGUUGGUGGGGUAAUGGCCUACCAAGACGAUGAUGCAUAGCCGACCUGAGAGGGUGAACGGCCACAUUGGGACUGAGAAAAGGCCCAAACUCCUACGGGAGGCAGCAGGGGGGAAUCUUCCGCAAUGGGCGAAAGCCUGACGGAGCAAUGCCGCGUGAGUGAAGAAGGCCUUCGGGUCGUAAAACUCUGUUGUAUGGGAAGAAAUGCUAAAAUAGGGAAUGAUUUUAGUUUGACGGUACCAUACCAGAAAGGGACGGCUAAAUACGUGCCAGCCGCCGCCGUAA